AGAACUAUGAAAAUGUAGUACCAAGAUAUCUAAGCACUUCUAGUGCCCUUCUAGCUAGGUGGAGAUAAUGGAAAGAGUAGCUAAUCUCACAGGCCCUGGACGUCGGCAUGGCACUGCAAGAGGAGGCCAUCCAAUGAUAACUUUACGCUGCGCUUGCCACUUCCCACGACUCACCGGCCAUCUCAAGCCACUGUCACCCCCCC
Molecule: long non-coding RNA, 203 nt
Filed under: Hordeum vulgare
Lineage: Eukaryota; Viridiplantae; Streptophyta; Magnoliopsida; Poales; Poaceae
Description: long non-coding RNA (HVUL_LNC000101)
Source: RNAcentral